Molecule: ribosomal RNA, 492 nt
Filed under: uncultured bacterium
Lineage: Bacteria
Description: partial 16S ribosomal RNA
Rfam family: Bacterial small subunit ribosomal RNA
Source: RNAcentral
AGUGAACGCUGGCGGUAGGCCUAACACAUGCAAGUCGAACGGCAGCACAGUAAGAGCUUGCUCUUACGGGUGGCGAGUGGCGGACGGGUGAGGAAUACAUCGGAAUCUACUUUUUCGUGGGGGAUAACGUAGGGAAACUUACGCUAAUACCGCAUACGACCUACGGGUGAAAGCAGGGGAUCUUCGGACCUUGCGCGAUUGAAUGAGCCGAUGUCGGAUUAGCUAGUUGGCGGGGUAAAGGCCCACCAAGGCGACGAUCCGUAGCUGGUCUGAGAGGAUGAUCAGCCACACUGGAACUGAGACAAGGUCCAGACUCCUAAGGGAGGCAGCAGUGGGGAAUAUUGGACAAUGGGCGCAAGCCUGAUCCAGCCAUAACGCGUGGGUGAAGAAGGCCUUCGGGUUGUAAAGCCCUUUUGUUGGGAAAGAAAAGCAGCAGGUUAAUACCCCGCUGUUCUGACGGUACCCAAAGAAUAAGCACCGGCUAACUUCGUG